CCUACGGGCGUCAGCAGUGAGGCAUAUUGGUCAAUGGGUGGAAGCCUGAACCAGCCAAGUCGCGUGAGGGAUUAAGGCCCUGCGGGUCGUAAACCUCUUUUGCCGGGGAGCAGAGGUCCGGACGUGUCCGGGCCGGGAGAGUACCCGGAGAAAAAGCAUCGGCUAACUCCGUGCCAGCAGCCGCGGUAAUACGGAGGAUGCGAGCGUUAUCCGGAUUUAUUGGGUUUAAAGGGUGCGUAGGCGGGCAUUUAAGCCGGCGGUCAAAUGUCGGGGCUCAACCCCGGCCUGCCGUCGGCACUGGGUGCCUUGAGUGGGCGAGAAGUAUGCGGAAUGCGUGGUGUAGCGGUGAAAUGCAUAGAUAUCACGCAGAACCCCGAUUGCGAAGGCAGCAUACCGGCGCCCUACUGACGCUGAGGCACGAAAGUGCGGGUAUCGAACAGGAUGAGAUACCCGAGUAGUC
Molecule: ribosomal RNA, 460 nt
Filed under: uncultured bacterium
Lineage: Bacteria
Description: partial 16S ribosomal RNA
Rfam family: Bacterial small subunit ribosomal RNA
Source: RNAcentral